Molecule: ribosomal RNA, 497 nt
Filed under: uncultured bacterium
Lineage: Bacteria
Description: partial 16S ribosomal RNA
Rfam family: Bacterial small subunit ribosomal RNA
Source: RNAcentral
GACGAACGCUGGCGGCGUGCCUAAUACAUGCAAGUAGAACGCUGAAGCGAGGAGCUUGCUCUUCUUGGAUGAGUUGCGAACGGGUGAGUAACGCGUAGGUAACCUGCCUUGUAGCGGGGGAUAACUAUUGGAAACGAUAGCUAAUACCGCAUAACAAUGGAUGACACAUGUCAUUUAUUUGAAAGGGGCAAUUGCUCCACUACAAGAUGGACCUGCGGUGGAUUAGCUAGUAGGUGAGGUAAUGGCUCACCUAGGCGACGAUACAUAGCCGACCUGGGAGGGUGAUCGGCCACACUGGGACUGAGACAAGGCCCAGACUCCUAAGGGAGGCAGCAGUAGGGAAUCUUCGGCAAUGGGGGGAACCCUGAACGAGGAACGCCGCGUGAGUGAAGAAGGUUCUCGGAUCGUAAAGCUCUGUUGUUAGUCAAAAACGGGUGUGAGAGUGGAAAGUUCACACUGUGACGGUAGCUUACCAGAAAGGGACGGCUAACUACGUG